AUGCGCAAAAGGACAUUUCUAACAAAACAAAAUGGAAGCAAAUGUGUAAAUACUAAAUUCCCAGCAAUGGAAGGAAAGAGCUGGAAAUCAGGAUACAGACUGCCAAAAAUCGAAACCCAGGUGGAAACGGAAUAUGUUGGACCUAAAUGCAACAGUGAGAACAAAAAGGUUCAUGGUUGCUUUUCCCACUUGUGGGGAGAUAUUUCAAGGUAUGUUCCUUUUUGGGAACAAGCACAGUUGAUCAAAAAGAUAUCAGAACCUUUGAGUUAUUGCGUAGAGUUAAUCCACAACCAGCCUCUCCAUGGACUCUGCUAUGGCUGUGACAGAAACAUUCAGAAACACUUUCAUCAUGAGAAGCCAAUACGCACUGGUGGAGGGUACACAUACUUCAGCAAAAAGACAUCGGCAUCUCCACUUCAAG
RNAcentral lists this long non-coding RNA (421 nucleotides) under Podarcis muralis (Common wall lizard). RNAcentral's name for it is "lncRNA (ENSPMRG00000004144.1)". Lineage: Eukaryota; Metazoa; Chordata; Lepidosauria; Squamata; Lacertidae. The record is from RNAcentral.